RNAcentral lists this small RNA (49 nucleotides) under Plasmodium falciparum 3D7. Its description in RNAcentral is "Pfa-npcR6592". Lineage: Eukaryota; Apicomplexa; Aconoidasida; Haemosporida; Plasmodiidae. The record is from RNAcentral.
AUCUAUUAACUUAUGAAAUGGAUCGAUCGUUUAUUUAUUGCACAUAAUG